Molecule: unclassified non-coding RNA, 287 nt
Filed under: Hevea brasiliensis (rubber tree)
Lineage: Eukaryota; Viridiplantae; Streptophyta; Magnoliopsida; Malpighiales; Euphorbiaceae
Source: RNAcentral
GUGGAAUUCAGGCUCCAUGUAUUUUGGACCCUUUAACGGUACAGGCUUAAUCAGAUUGACAUCACAAAUCAGAAUCUAAUCUCAGGAGUGGAAAAGUUAUGAUAAAGGUUAAUCAAGAUGACACCUUUAGGCAAUUACGAAUAAAAGAGUAAUUUUCUAUCACAUCAGCAUUCCUUUCUUUCUAGCCACCAGGCAAGCGAUUUCCUCUCAGAAUAUUGGGCCUGCAAUUGCACGGCUGCUAUCUCCACAUAUACCCCAUUGGAAAAUUUUAGCAUAUCCCUGAAAUG